AGGUUGGCUAAUCCUGGUCGGACAUCAGGAGGUUAGUGCAAUGGCAUAAGCCAGCUUGACUGCGAGCGUGACGGCGCGAGCAGGUGCGAAAGCAGGUCAUAGUGAUCCGGUGGUUCUGAAUGGAAGGGCCAUCGCUCAACGGAUAAAAGGUACUCCGGGGAUAACAGGCUGAUACCGCCCAAGAGUUCAUAUCGACGGCGGUGUUUGGCACCUCGAUGUCGGCUCAUCACAUCCUGGGGCUGAAGUAGGUCCCAAGGGUAUGGCUGUUCGCCAUUUAAAGUGGUACGCGAGCUGGGUUUAGAACGUCGUGAGACAGUUCGGUCCCUAUCUGCCGUGGGCGCUGGAGAACUGAGGGGGGCUGCUCCUAGUACGAGAGGACCGGAGUGGACGCAUCACUGGUGUUCGGGUUGUCAUGCCAAUGGCACUGCCCGGUAGCUAAAUGCGGAAGAGAUAAGUGCUGAAAGCAUCUAAGCACGAAACUUGCCCCGAGAUGAGUUCUCCCUGACUCCUUGAGAGUCCUGAAGGAACGUUGAAGACGACGACGUUGAUAGGCCGGGUGUGUAAGCGCAGCGAUGCGUUGAGCUAACCGGUACUAAUGAACCGUGAGGCUUAACCUU
This 617-nucleotide ribosomal RNA is filed under the name Escherichia coli. Its description in RNAcentral is "partial 23S ribosomal RNA". It matches the Rfam family "Bacterial large subunit ribosomal RNA", at positions 2314 to 2925 of the family's 2925-position model. The record is from RNAcentral. Lineage: Bacteria; Pseudomonadati; Pseudomonadota; Gammaproteobacteria; Enterobacterales; Enterobacteriaceae.